CCCGGCGCGGCAGCUGCGGCGGGCGCCUCUCCGGCUGGGGCGCGGGGCCACCGCCACUGGGCACCCAGGCGGAAGGCCGGCGCGGUGACGGGCCGGAUCCGGGGGCUGUGCCUCCUCCUUCCGGGGAGACUCCAGGGCAUCAGAAGGAAACUCUGCAAGGAUCUGCUAUCACAGAUAUGAAGAGUGGGAAGAAAUGUCCAGACACUGUUAAAAGCAUGAAUGUGGACCUUUGGAAGGAAGAAUUGCAAGGAAACCUGUCUGUCUCAGCUGGGGUUCAUUGUGGGGGAACAACAUCUCCCCUAAGAAUCUGUGAUCAUGGAUCUGCCUUCUCCCAGGCCGCCUCACUGAAUGGGGUGCUCAGAGUAGUGAUGAAAAAUUCAUGGAUUAACACUUGAUGCCAGACUGGUAGGAAAGUUUAUAUAGCAUGGCAUAUAGUAGCUAUGUUCUAGAAAUUUUAUUAUGUGUUUAUUGAACUGUACUUCAUUAUUGUUCUUUUUAAAAUUUAUAUUGUUUCUUUAUUUGCAUUAUGUACUCUUUUUGUAUUAUGAGACACAAAAUUUAUGUCCUUGCCAUCAUUAUCUUAUUAUGAUCCAGAGCUAAGUUUCAGGAGAAUUCUUUAUGGCACCUUAAAAAUUGUACUUCCAUAAGAAAAUGUACAAUAUUUAAUAUUCCUAUUUUCAUGGUCUCUGAUUUAUUAUUAGGCUAAACUUUUUACCUUUUAUGAGUUGUGUCCCCCGAAGAUAGGUUCAAAUUCUUAACCCCUAGGACCUUAGAAUGUUACCUUAUUUUGAGAUUGGGUCUCUACAGAGAUAAUCAAGUUAAAAUGAUAUCAUGAGGGUGGACCUGAUUCAAUAGGAUUGGUGUUCCUAUAAAAAAGGGUAGAAAUUCGGACAGAGAGAAAGACAUGCACAGAGGAAGACAACAUAAAGACACACAGAAUAGCACAUGAAGACAGGAUUGCAUCUACAAACCAAGGAACACCAAAGAUUGCUGUCAAAAUACCAGAAGCUACAAAAGGAAAGGAAGGAUUCUCCCCCUGAGCUCAAAGACAACAUGGCCCUGCUUGUCUACACCUUGACUUCAAACUUCUAGCCUCUAGAACUGAGACAAUAAAUUUCUAUUGCAAAAUCUGAGCA
This is a long non-coding RNA of Neogale vison (American mink), 1136 nucleotides long. NCBI's taxonomy places the organism in Eukaryota, Metazoa, Chordata, Mammalia, Carnivora, Mustelidae. The record is from Ensembl.